Molecule: ribosomal RNA, 497 nt
Filed under: uncultured bacterium
Lineage: Bacteria
Description: partial 16S ribosomal RNA
Rfam family: Bacterial small subunit ribosomal RNA
Source: RNAcentral
GAUGAACGCUGGCGGCGUGCCUAAUACAUGCAAGUCGAGCGAACGGACGAGAAGCUUGCUUCUCUGAUGUUAGCGGCGGACGGGUGAGUAACACGUGGAUAACCUACCUAUAAGACUGGGAUAACUUCGGGAAACCGGAGCUAAUACCGGAUAAUAUUUUGAACCGCAUGGUUCAAAAGUGAAAGACGGUCUUGCUGUCACUUAUAGAUGGAUCCGCGCUGCAUUAGCUAGUUGGUAAGGUAACGGCUUACCAAGGCAACGAUGCAUAGCCGACCUGAGAGGGUGAUCGGCCACACUGGAACUGAGACACGGUCCAGACUCCUACGGGAGGCAGCAGUAGGGAAUCUUCCGCAAAGGGCGAAAGCCUGACGGAGCAACGCCGCGUGAGUGAUGAAGGUCUUCGGAUCGUAAAACUCUGUUAUUAGGGAAGAACACAUGUGUAAGUAACUGUGCACAUCUUGACGGUACCUAAUCAGAAAGCCACGGCUAACUACGUG